RNAcentral lists this long non-coding RNA (1812 nucleotides) under Citrus x clementina. RNAcentral describes it as "Citrus clementina (C. clementina) long non-coding RNA (CCLE_LNC001010)". Lineage: Eukaryota; Viridiplantae; Streptophyta; Magnoliopsida; Sapindales; Rutaceae. The record is from RNAcentral.
CAUAUUAUAUGUAUUUAUGUGAUCGCCAUGUGGAUUCACAGAAAACAUAAAUACAAGUUAUCUUAUAAUUAAAUAAAUUUAGUUCGCAAUUAAUAAAUAAAAUUGGGCACUUUAUUUAGGUAUAGACUAUAAUGAAUUCAUUGAAUGAUUUGUUUUAAUCAUGUAUGAAUUUAUUGAUGUAGUACGACUACGUUGAACAUGAUUACAUAUGAGAUUUAAUUAACUUUGUAAUAACUGUAAGACUUAUUAAAUCUCAUAGGUAUUGAUUUUACUGUAAUCUUAAUCUUGAGUUAAUUAUGAUUGUAAUUGUUAUUUCAUUUGACUUACCAAUGGACACGACACAUACUUGUAGUCAAGAUUACCCGGUAUCUUGGUGGGAGCAAUUAUGAGUAUUUGAGUUAUAGAUUAACAAUACAGAAUUUGUACAACACAUCUCUUGAUGGGUUUUCGGCACUUUAUCAUAGAAUUCUCUGACCAGAGUAUGUCAACAUAUUUAGUAUGUUGAAAAUGAUCAUUAGAGAAAACCAGUAAGUAUCAAAGAACAAGAUGUAAUUAAAUUGAUUGGACAGUUGAUAUAUUGAUUUAAUUAAUGAUGUGGUACAAAGAAUUGUGCAGUAAAGAAAUCAAUGUAGCUUGGGAUGAAUUAUUAUUUGAACAUACAAUUAUGGAGGUUAAUUCCAAUCUUAUAGUAGAGUAGAGUUCGAAUUAAAUGAUUAGACUUAUUUAAUUAUAGGCUUAAUUGUUGUGGCCAUUAUUGUAUGUUCUCUAGUAGACUAAUGAUCCCCGGGUUAGUUCAUUUAAUUGACUGCACCACAAUUGAAUUAAGAAGUAAGAUAACUAGCUAUUUGGGUCAAAAGCCUGAAUAUAUCAUUUAGUGAGAGGCUUCAUUUAAUUUGCUUGUUUGUAAGGGGCCUUAUGUUAUUUUAUAAGGUGGGCCCCUUAUAGAAAAAGGUGACUUUUGAUUUUUAUUAUUUGGAGUUUAGGGUUUUCACUAAAUAGAGAUAUAUAAAGGCUUAUUUUUUCUAAAAAAAGACAAAUGCUACAUUAUACAGAUCAGAAAAAAAUAUUUUUCUCUCUAAUUUUGAGAGAAAAAUUUUCUCCUCCUAGUUGCUUUUAGUGGUGAUAAAGGCACCCACACGUCAAGUGCAGAUCAAACUCGAGUCAUAACUUGGAAGAUUAUUUGGUGGCGGAUCGUGAUCUAACAUGAGUGGUGGUGACGAAUCGUGAUCUGGAAGCUUAAAUCACUUCAGCGGAAAAAGCAAAGAUUGUUCAUCUUCUCAUAUUUUCAAAGUACGAUUUUCAGAUUACGGAUUCUUAUAUAUUGUAUGAGAUCGAUCCUAAAUUUUUUUUUUAAAAAAAAAAAUUUCCCCAACAAAAAGUUAUGUGCCUUUACUUACUUACGUCUUUCACUUACUCAACAAAUUUAUCCUAAGAGUCAAAAGUUGCAUGCUAGUCACAUGCAAUUAUUUACCACAUGCAUGCACAUGUUCAACGACUUAUUCAUCCCAAUAAGUCCUAAGGCUCAGGUUACAACCAAGAAUUAAUUAAUUAAGCCUACAAAUUAAACACCAUGUUGAGUCAAACUUGAUUAGUUCUUGACAAAAAACCAAGAUUAUUGAACCAUGCAAAACACCAAAAUGAGACGAUCCUCACAAUUGAAGAGGAUCUCUCCAGCAACUAACAAAAUCUUGAAGUCAACGUAAUUUGUUGCUCUCAGUUAUGAAUAACUAGAAAAUAGAACAGCGCUUCACGCGGCUUUAAAAAAAAAUUAGUAUUAUCUUUUUUUUUCUUAUUUUUAUACUUGAUCAAACU